AACGAACGCUGGCGGCAGGCCUAACACAUGCAAGUCGAACGCCCUAGCAAUAGGGAGUGGCAGACGGGUGAGUAACGCGUGGGAACCUUCCCUAUAGUACGGAAUAUACCAGGGAAACUUGGAGCAAUACCGUAUACGCCCGAAAGGGGAAAGAUUUAUCGCUAUAGGGAUGGGGCCCGCGUAGGAUUAGCUAGUUGGUGAGGUAAUGGCUCACCAAGGCGACGAUCCUUAGCUGGUCUGAGAGGAUGAUCAGCCACACUGGGACUGAGACACGGCCCAGACACCUACGGGUGGCAG
Molecule: ribosomal RNA, 297 nt
Filed under: uncultured Pseudomonadota bacterium
Lineage: Bacteria; Pseudomonadati; Pseudomonadota
Description: uncultured proteobacterium partial 16S ribosomal RNA
Rfam family: Bacterial small subunit ribosomal RNA
Source: RNAcentral